UUUAUAAAAGUAUGGCACCUCUUCCCUCUCUCUCUCUUGCUCUUCUUGCCAUGUGACACCUCGCCCUUCACCUUCUGCCAUGAGUAAAACUUCCUGGGGCCUUACCAGAAAUCAAGCAGAUACUGGCACUAUGCUUGUAGAGCCCGCAAAACUAAAGGACUAUAAAUCAUGCUGCUAUAAAGACACAUGCACACAUAUGUUUAUUGCAGCACUAUUCACAAUAGCAAGGACUUGGAACCAACCCAAAUGUCCAACAAUGAUAGACUGGAUUAAGAAAAUGUGGCACAUAUACACCAUGGAAUACUAUGCAGCCAUAAGAAAUUCUCUUCUUGAAGACUGUGUUUUCUGAUUAAACCCGCCCUUACAAUUUAGAAUUUAGUCUCUUUUUUUUUACAUUUAUUUAGUUAUCCUUCAAAUGUUUUAAAUCAAGUGCUGAAUUGUUUUAAAAAAAAUGGGAGAUGGAUCCUCUUUCUUGAAGCUUAUAACUUUUAUAAAAUCCAAAGAAGUUGCUUUAAAAAUUCCCCUCCCAGACAAUUGCAUCCCCCACCAUCUAAGUCUCUGUUAUUCAAUUUUCAAUUUCUCUUCCUGGUUACAUAGUUUGUGCACUUUGGUUUUACUCAUUAAUUAUACCUUUUUCUCCUUGACUUACCAGAAUCAUUAAAUGACCACAGGAUUUUCCCUAUUACUGCAUAUUUAAAAAUCUUCUUUUUCAUCAAAUAAUAGUGUAGAAUAUCAGAAUAACCUGCAUAUUUGCUGCAUUAUGCACUUGGAGAUUUGUAGAGAACAGAACAAUAAUUUUUAUUUGAGAACAGAAAAAUAAUUUUUUAUUUCAUGUAUUUCCGGUUCUGUUUUAAGUCUGGAGUGAUUAUGUGGGAAGUAUGAAACAUGCCUCAACCCACAAUGGUCUUACUACCCGAUUGAAGAAGAUAGGCUUUUAAAAGAAAAAAUCUUAUAAUGCUGUAAUAUGAACAGCAUGUAAUGAAGUGCGGCAACAUUGACUCAUAAGUGCACAGAGGUGGGGACAGCCAUGGAAGGAUGAGAGGUUGGGUGAGGCUCUCCAGGGCCCUCAGAGCUCUAAAGACACUGAAAGAUUUGGAAUGACAAACAAAGAGAGACGCUGUUCUGACUGGGAAACAGCCUCAAUAAAAUACAGAGUACACAUGGAAUAUGAGGGCUCCGUAAAGGGACCCUCAUGUUCCCCACUUCAGUCACAGAAAGUAAACAACUCCCAAUAAAACGUUUUCUGCAAAUAAAAUAACCAGUACUUCUCUUGAGGGGGUCCACAAGGAGCACUUUUACAGAUGGAUGAAUUGGCAGCUAUGUUUUGUUUGGUAAAACAGAAACCAGCAGGCAAACAUCCUGAUAUUAACUCAGGAACAUCUCCAGCCACAACAUUUUCAUUUGUUCUUACGUAUUCUUAGACCAGAUGAAGUGGAUUUUUCCCUUACAAAGGAAUUCGGAAUGUAUACUAAGGAAACCAUUCCCUUCUGGGAUCCAAUCUAGUCCUUGUUUGGGAAACAAAAUGUGAAACAUAUCCAGGUGGCUGAAAGAGAAGAGACAUCCUGACAAUACUCUUCAGAAGGCUCCCUGGAUCCUCCCUUCCUCCACGUCAUUUUACCAGCCCUUGAAAAUGUACUUUUCUCCCAAAUAAGGAUACUUAUAUUCGCAUUCUGUAAGCAGUCCUAGUCUUAGUGAGAGAAGGCAUGCGCAUACCAUCCCAAGCAUGCGCUGCAGAACAAGAGAUCAGCGUGCUUCCCCUCAAAGGCCUAUUCCCACGGGCCUUUCCCGUGUCCCCUCUUGUCACCACUACUCAUAUCUCUAUAUUUCACACCAAAGCCAGUGGAAGCCAAUGGAAGUUCCACAGUCUGCCUAGAUUCCGUAAGGGUCUGAUCAUCCAAGGGCAAGAACAAAUUGCUGGCAAACAGUCACACACAUGUUUGUAAUCACUGACAUUUGCACUGCUACAAAUAAAGAAUGCAUUUCUCCUACACAUGUACAUUGAAGAUGGUUAGGAAAAUCUGUUUUGAGUUAAGCUUCUUUUCUUUGAUAUGCAUUUCCAAUUACUAAACCAAUGCUGCUUUAAUUUUGUUUGUAGGAAGCUGAACUGACACGAAACAAAAGAAGUCCGUUGUUUUGGAUUGAGUUCCAUACUUGGCUGGCCCAGAGGUUGAUCUCACCACCAUUCAGAUAUCCAAGAAGAAGCCACCUGUUGGAUUUAAGAAAACCCACAAUAUCUCUCACCCUUGGUAACAGAGGGGAGGGGUUCAGUGAACCCUGAGUUUAGCCAUCUAUGUAUAAGUUGACAUUUUGCAUAACUUAUAUUUUCGGGGUCUCUUCUUAUCACUUUCUGUCUUUGCAGCUAAAACCAGGUUGCCAUUUAGGAAUGGCUCUUUGCAAUUUUUAUUUGAAUGAAAAAUUUCCUAUGAUUUCAUGUAGUUCUCCACAUCUUUAAUGUAUCAGAAUUUAAAAUAAACUACAGAUUGCUCAGUUCAAUAGAUACAAUGUUUAUAUAUACGAUGAUACAUGUCAAUAUAUAUAUAAGGUUUUAGACUUAAGUAAAAUAUUGAUUAGAUGAAAUAGAAAUAAAUUAAUACAAAUCUCUGCCCAUGUUAUGUCAGAGUAAUUAAUAUACUAUACUUACACAUUAUUACAUAUAAGGCCCACAUAUGAUGUUUUAUAUGUAAUCCUAGUAUGAGUCACCAUUUUGGAAAUAAAUCAUCAUUAUGAACCAAGAUGUACAUAUUUUUAAACAUACAAAGCCAAAUUCUUGCCUGUCUGCAAGUUGAAACACAUGGGCAAUUAACGGUACUUCAGAAAACUGAAAAAGAUCUCUUAAGGAUUUAUAAAAGUUUGUUAAAUUUUUAGCAUUUUUAGCAACACACUUCCAGACCUAAAGCCAUCUGAGGCUUCUCUAUUUUGCUAGUAUCUGAGACAUGUUAAAGCUCUAUUUAGCGCUAGAAGUUUUGACCAUUUGCUCUCUAGAGCCACCCCAUCUGCUCUGGAGCCUGUGGAGGGUGGGCAAGGCUGCACCCUGGGGGCUGGUCCUUGCUCAGAGCCUCUCUGUAGCUUAGGGGGAGGCUGCACCUUGUUCCAAAGCAACACAGACCUCUCUCUGCUUAACCUAAAGAGACAUGAGGUGCCAGGAGCCACAGGGCAGGGCAGUUUUAUUGUGGUGAUUCUGUGUUAGUGACAAUGCUGAGUCAGUGUGUCACUUUCAACAGGCAUUUUAAAUUUCCUUUGGAUAUUGUGAUCACUCUUCCAGCAGGUCCCUCAUUCCUAUCCCGUCAACUUCCAUUUCUCUUUACUCUCAUUGAUCAUGUAAUAAAGCAAUGGGAAAUUUCCUGAAACAACUUUUAUUUUUAUAACCUUACUCUGUGGUGUAUCUAUGCACAACGACUAAAGGAGUGGAAGCUCAUUACCAGUAACGUUUUCGAGGACUUUAAAACCAACUUUUCUGUGCUGAGCUGUCUGGAAGUUCCUCAUGAUACCGGUGACCACAUUUUUCUUAUCAUUUUCUUAUGAAGUUAUUUUGAAAAUUUUCCCAUCCAAAUGGACCAGUGGGUGGACAGGGGACACAAUUACUAAUAAACUAUGUAAUCAUUUACAAUAUAAAGUGGGAGAACUUCAACCAGGUUUUGGCAGCUAGCUGGUAACACUCCUGGUAACAUAAAAAGGUAUCUUGCAGUUAAAAAAAUAAGUUUUGAAAUAGUAAACUCAUGACGGAAAUCUUAAGUUAUUUAAACAUUUUCCAAAGGACAUAGUCAUCCCAAGAGCAAUAGAAUUGAAAUAGGAACAUUGUUAAUUUAUGUUGGGUUAAAAAUACUUUGCAUAUUUAAUGUUAAUUUUAGCUUUAGCUUUUGCUCAGAAGUUCUGCAAAUACCUGAAGGGAUUUCAGCUUGCUCACCACCUCUCCUACACACCCCUGUCAAAUGGCAUGGACUGCUAUUGUUAUCAGUUUUAGUAGUCGCGUUAUUUUCCAUGUGAAGUCAGAGUUUAGAAGCGCUGCUCUUUUACCACUUUGGAUGAUUCCUACACUUCCUGGGAGGGAAGGAUGACAAUAGUCAUAUUGAAUUUGUGUUCCAUUUUGUCUCCUUUUCUUUAAAAUUUUGCCACUGAAAGUGCAGAAUAUCUGAAACAGAAUGAAACCUCACUGGAAAAUACAGUCUGUUAGUGAGUGCUGGUGAUACAACUUACCCCAAAGGAACAAGUUCAAAUUCUGAAGUUCAUACCUUGGUGAGGGUGAGAUAAGUUGCCUUGCUGUAGCAUGCAUUGAUGUCUAAGUAUGCCUUAGGAGGAAAUAAUAAUGCACAUGUUGAUUGUUAAAAGUACUAUCUGCUCCAUAGAAACCUGGAAUCUUUUGCAAAGUCCGUGAUACUUUGAAACACGAAAGGCUGGAAGUGUCAUUAGCUGGGAAGGAUGAAUGCAGCAGCUAUUGGAAGGAUAAACAGAAGGUCCAGGUGGGAGCCGAUUCUCCAAGGAGCUCGCUUCUUUGGUUCUCAAUGGGAUGGUGGAAAUAAGCUUCAGACAUGAAGAAGUCUGAAGUGGGUUAAGGUUCCAGUUCUCUUCUUGAGGAGUCUUCUGUCUUCCUGGUCCCAAACGCAGACCAUUUUAUGAAAGGCCUUUACCAGGCAGCUUUUCAGCUUCUGGAGAAACAUUUCCUGUCAACUGGGCUCCACCUGCAGAGAUGAGACACAGCUUGGGCAGAAGCAUGGACCUCCAGGGCCUGAAACUGAGCACAGAAGACAUCCCUGACUUACACCCUGACUUGUAAUCUGGAACCACGCAGAGAUUUUCAAUGACAAUGUGGGGAAACAGAAUUUGUCUGAACUUUGGUGAUUUUGAAUGAAGUUUAUAUAAUAAUUAAAGCCAGGGCAGAUUUGGCAGUCUUCUUGAAAGGAAGUAAUGCUUAUUGUGGUCAGAAGAAAGAGUGAGGCAACUCAGGGUCUGAAAAAAGAGACAUGAAGAAAGCUGAGGACCAAUCCAUUCCAAGGUUCACUGUGGAAAUGGGGCCCAACCCUUAAAAGGUUAUUCAUUAAGUAGAAGUGGAUCACCAUAAAGGUCUUCAUCCUCAUCAUCUUAUGUUGAGUAGGCUCCGCUUCUCUGUAUGUGUCACUCUUGCAGGCCAGUCUCUCACUUCACCUCCAUGAGCACGGGCUGCACUGCUGGUGUGAACCAUGGCAGGACUGAUGCCCUGAAGUUACCCAGCUGGUACUUAGUGGAAGCAGGAUUUCAGGCUGAGGAGUCUGGCCCCGGUCUCUGUGCUUUUAGCAGCUCAGCCCAGCUGCUUCUCGGCCACCCUUGCGACAUCAUCUUCCAUCUCACACUGCCAAGGGCAGGAAUGCCAGACUUAUUAGAAAAGCCUUGAAAAACUUAAGAAUGUAAGUAUUAAAAAGUUCAGCAUCUCAAAUAUUUAUCAUUGCUUUGUAGUGAGAACACUUAAAAUCUUUUCUUUUAGAUGUUUUGAAAUACAUAGUACAUUAACUAUAGUCACCAUGUUUUGCAAUAAACCACCAGAACUGAUUCCUCCCAUGUAACUGAAACUUUGCACUCUUUGGCAAACAU
RNAcentral lists this long non-coding RNA (5562 nucleotides) under Homo sapiens (human). RNAcentral's name for it is "long non-coding RNA NONHSAT215819.1". The record is from RNAcentral. Lineage: Eukaryota; Metazoa; Chordata; Mammalia; Primates; Hominidae.